GACACUCCUACGGGAGGCAGCAGUGGGGAAUAUUGGACAAUGGGCGAAAGCCUGAUCCAGCAAUGCCGCGUGAGUGAUGAAGGCCUUAGGGUUGUAAAGCUCUUUUACCCGGGAUGAUAAUGACAGUACCGGGAGAAUAAGCCCCGGCUAACUCCGUGCCAGCAGCCGCGGUAAUACGGAGGGGGCUAGCGUUGUUCGGAAUUACUGGGCUUAAAGCGCGCGUAGGCGGCUUUGUAAGUUAGAGGUGAAAGCCCGGAGCUCAACUUCGGAAUUGCCUUUAAGACUGCAUCGCUAGAAUCGUGGAGAGGUGAGUGGAAUUCCGAGUGUAGAGGUGAAAUUCGUAGAUAUUCGGAAGAACACCAGUGGCGAAGGCGACUCACUGGACACGUAUUGACGCUGAGGUGCGAAAGCGUGGGGGGCAAACAGGAUUAGAUACCCGUGUAGUCCCA
This 449-nucleotide ribosomal RNA is filed under the name uncultured organism. RNAcentral describes it as "partial 16S ribosomal RNA". It matches the Rfam family "Bacterial small subunit ribosomal RNA", at positions 332 to 797 of the family's 1533-position model. The record is from RNAcentral.